UUCCUUUUCUUAUUCAUCAGCUUUGUAAUUCACUAUUUAUCUUAAUUUCCUAUACAUUUAUGUAUGUGGGUGUUUAUUAGUAUACAAAGUGAUUAAAUUUAUAAAAUGAUGUAAUAGGUUUUGAGAAAUUUCAGCUUAAAAGAAUGGUUUUUUAAGAUUAUUGAUUGCUUUUCUUGAUAUUGUUUGUUGAUGGGUAUUCUGUUGUUAGGAUAGGGAUUAUGGUUUUAGCAUCAUUUUAUAAGGAUUCCUUGAUACAAUCAAUCAUAGGGGGUGUUUUCUGAUUAAUGGUUUUGGAGAGAAGUGAAUGUGAUUAAUGGAAUUUGGUGUUCCAAGGUUGAGCUUGUGUGGGAUUUAUGAUUCUUUCUAGUUGAGAAAUUUUGUGAGAAUAUGUUGACUCUAGCCUCUAUGGAUUUAGAUCUUAAUUGUUUAUGUGACAUCUAAUUACUAAAGUUCUUGCUCUUUGCUUCUCCUGUGCACUAAAGAAUCUAGAAAUGCCAUAUAAGGCUAAUACACUGUUCUAUUUUUCUGACAAGUAAAUUAUAUAUUUAUAUAUACUGUUCGGAAAUAAACGUUUUAUGUCUUGUGUGGGGUUUAUGAUUCUCCUUUUCUUCUACCCAAGCACAAAGGGGGUUUAUAAAAAGCUUAUGUCUGGUCCCCAAAACCCUCCCCUCCCAGUUAGUUGAAGUAGAGGCAAGAUCACUACUUGAAUACCAUGUGGUUACUUAAACUUUUAGUUUGCUACAGGUUUCGGUCCAUGCAUGUUUAUAAAAGGAUGCAUAUUCCUUCAUUUUGGAAAUCCUGGAGCUUUUUGUUGAUGAAAUUUCUUCUUGUUUUGUUAAAAUGGUAGUAACUGCAAUAGCUCAAGGCAUUCUUCAUUGUACUAGUACAGCUUGCCUAAUCAGAGUAAUGUUUUUGGCUAUUUAUCAUUAAUCUUAUAGCCAAUGACCAAGUAAAAGACUUAUUUGUCUAUCUUUCUAAGUGACAAACCAUAAUCGCAAUCCUUUUCCUUCUAGCAUAAUUGGUAUUGAUUAUUGUGAUGCGGAAAAAUACUUAAACAUAAUCAUUACAAACGGUGGGAGAAAAAAAUACGCACAGAAUGCAAUUCUUGCAUAAUUUUUAACUGGCCAGCUAAAGCUCUACUACUUGAUAUGAUUAAAAUCAUAUACCUGUAAUCUUUGGCUUUAUCCAUGUCUAUGAUAAGGCAAUGAGCAAAAUGUUGAAUAGACAAAGUAUCAAUUUCUUUGGGUGUACAUGGUAUCUUGCAUACUGUAACAAUAAGUACACUGGAGUCAUUCAAAUGGCUCAUUAGGAGCUUAUAAUAAUAUAGGUGAGUGGCAACAUAUUCUAUUUGCUCAAACUCACUCACCUACUUAACUAAUCCCUGAACAAAUAUUGAUGGCUUUAUAAUUAGGCGUAAGGAGGCCCACCACUCAUCUCUCUUAGACCCUGCAAAAGUGGUAUCUUUGUGCACUAUGUACAAUCUUUUUAAUCUAUAGGACCUACAUAUGGUGAUCAUUUUUAAUAUCUUGUUUGUGUCUUAGUCAGGUUUGAGAAAGAAAAACCUGGAGUAUACAAGAAUACUUCAGGGGUAGUAAAUCUGGUUUCGUUAAAUUUACAUGGAAAUUGACUGAGUGGUCUGAUAAAGGAAAUAUAUUAUUUGCAUGUUAUGGUCUUAUAUAGUUUGAGAGAUUGGUUAAUUUGCUGGAGGAUAUCAUGGAUGGCAGCCGAAUAUUGAUCUUCAUGACUACCAAGGAAGGAUGUGAUCAGGUCACCCAGCAGCUUUAUGUGGAUGGUUGGCAAGCUCUUUCAAUUAAUGGAGAUAAAAGUCAAGCAGAAAGGGAUUGGGUCCUCUCAGAGUUUAAAGCUGGCAGGAGUUCUAUUAUGACUGCAACAGAUGUUGCAGCUUGCGAUUUGGGAAUGGAGAUAAAGCUUUAAUGCUUGUUCAAAGACUUGAUAGAAAUUCAUUUUUAGUACAGGAAAUUGUGUUGGUAAACAAUAACUAAUAGCACUCAUCAUCACCAUUAUCAACUCAUUUUGGAAAGAAAUCAUUAUCUAGAUAUUCUUGUUGUCCCU
Molecule: long non-coding RNA, 2073 nt
Organism: Quercus robur (English oak)
Lineage: Eukaryota; Viridiplantae; Streptophyta; Magnoliopsida; Fagales; Fagaceae
Exons: 2
Source: RefSeq, a predicted model, not a curated record